GUAGGUGGCAAGCGUUGCCCGGAAUUAUUGGGCGUAAAGCGCGCGCAGGCGGUUCUUUAAGUCUGAUGUGAAAGCCCACGGCUCAACCGUGGAGGGUCAUUGGAAACUGGAGAACUUGAGUACAGAAGAGGAAAGCGGAAUUCCACGUGUAGCGGUGAAAUGCGUAGAGAUGUGGAGGAACACCAGUGGCGAAGGCGGCUUUCUGGUCUGUAACUGACGCUGAGGCGCGAAAGCGUGGGGAGCAAACAGGGAUUAGAUACCCUGGUAGUCCACGCCGUAAACGAUGAGUGCUAAGUGUUAGGGGGGUUUCCGCCCCCUUAGUGCUGCAGCUAACGCAUUAAGCACUCCGCCUGGGGAGUACGGCCGCAAGGCUG
RNAcentral lists this ribosomal RNA (374 nucleotides) under uncultured organism. RNAcentral's name for it is "partial 16S ribosomal RNA". It matches the Rfam family "Bacterial small subunit ribosomal RNA", at positions 527 to 896 of the family's 1533-position model. The record is from RNAcentral.